CGGGAAUAUUGCGCAAUGGAGGAAACUCUGACGCAGUGACGCCGCGUAUAGGAAGAAGGUUUUCGGAUUGUAAACUAUUGUCGUUAGGGAAGAUAAAAGACAGUACCUAAGGAGGAAGCUCCGGCUAACUACGUGCCAGCAGCCGCGGUAAUACGUAGGGAGCAAGCGUUAUCCGGAUUUAUUGGGUGUAAAGGGUGCGUAGACGGGAAAAUAAGUUAGUUGUGAAAUCCCUCGGCUUAACUGAGGAACUGCAACUAAAACUAUUUUUCUUGAGUAUUGGAGAGGAAAGUGGAAUUCCUAGUGUAGCGGUGAAAUGCGUAGAUAUUAGGAGGAACACCAGUGGCGAAGGCGACUUUCUGGACAAUAACUGACGUUGAGGCACGAAAGUGUGGGGAGCAAAC
RNAcentral lists this ribosomal RNA (401 nucleotides) under uncultured bacterium. RNAcentral describes it as "bacterial SSU rRNA". It matches the Rfam family "Bacterial small subunit ribosomal RNA", at positions 356 to 773 of the family's 1533-position model. The record is from RNAcentral.